Molecule: small nuclear RNA, 316 nt
Filed under: Carlito syrichta (Philippine tarsier)
Lineage: Eukaryota; Metazoa; Chordata; Mammalia; Primates; Tarsiidae
Description: 7SK RNA (ENSTSYG00000019924.2)
Rfam family: 7SK RNA
About the family: 7SK was discovered as an abundant small nuclear RNA in the mid-70s but a possible function has only recently been suggested. Two independent studies have found that 7SK RNA binds the CDK9/cyclin T complex (known as elongation factor P-TEFb).
Source: Rfam by way of RNAcentral
GGAUGUGAAGGCAAUCUGGCUGUAAUAUCUGUCACCCCACUAAUCGCCUGGGUUGAUUCGGGUGAUCUGGCUGGCUAGGCCGGUGUCCCCUUCCUCCACGUGUGUCCUCCUUAAGCUGCACACUCAGUCAAAGAGGAUGAGUAUCCUUAUCAGAGAAGGGUAGUUCCUUAGUCAAGGGUAUAUGAGUAGCUAUGCUCCUCUGUCAGAACCUCCAAACAAGCUCAAGGUCUAUUUGUAGGAGAACGUAGGAUAGUCAAGUUUUCAAGACUCUGGACACAUCCAAGUGAGAUGCUACAUGUGACAGUCAGCUUUCCUU